Molecule: long non-coding RNA, 299 nt
Organism: Oreochromis niloticus (Nile tilapia)
Lineage: Eukaryota; Metazoa; Chordata; Actinopteri; Cichliformes; Cichlidae
Exons: 2
Source: RefSeq, a predicted model, not a curated record
CAAAUACGAGAGGAGCGAGUGAGCGGAGCGAGUGUUGGACUUUGUCCCUUUUCCCCUGGACCAUUGCACAUCCUGCCCUGUACACGUGGGGUUUGUAAAUAAAUGGACAGAGUUCAUGUUCAUGGACAUCAGGAUAAAAACAGAAGAUGGAAACCUGCCAGAUUUGAGCUGCUCAUGUGUCGUCCCUGGGCAGGUCACAUGACUCUAUCCAACACACAAAGACACACAGACACACAAGAAAAGCCAGAGAAACAAAGACAAAUCCAAACAAUCCAUCAUACUGAGUUAAAGUGAUCACA